Long non-coding RNA from Zingiber officinale, 364 nucleotides. RefSeq lists it as uncharacterized. The record is from RefSeq and is a predicted model, not a curated record. Lineage: Eukaryota; Viridiplantae; Streptophyta; Magnoliopsida; Zingiberales; Zingiberaceae. The transcript has 3 exons.
GUCUGCCGCGAACUUUCUUUCCGAUUCGGUUGGCUCUUCCUUCUCCGAUCGACGCGAGAUCCAUUUGAUCGCCGGCGUGAAGAGUUAAUUAGGGUUUCAAGGGUCCGAUCUUGGAUCCAACCUUCGUUCGUGUUGAUUUGGGGAUAGAAGAAUCCUUGGUACGUUGUUUCACGGAUCGGAUUGGGCGACGUUUUCUGGAGACAACCGAUUGAAGGGAGGGGAGGUUCUGUGAAGGUGAUCUUGGAUUCCCUCUGUGUCGCUGCUGAUUGAGGUCUCGGGUGAAUUGGGAAAGAACUCCAGCAGAGGUUGCUGUGGGUUUUCUGAUCCAGCAAGGUGAAGAUUUGUUUUGGUUCUUGCUGUGGUG